Molecule: long non-coding RNA, 865 nt
Organism: Astatotilapia calliptera (eastern happy)
Lineage: Eukaryota; Metazoa; Chordata; Actinopteri; Cichliformes; Cichlidae
Source: Ensembl
UAAAUAUUUACAGCCAGCAAGUCACUACUGACCAAGGAAGGCGUGAACUACAUUUCAGGCUUCUUCUAUGUCAGGUGUCAUUGUGAUCUGCAGCGAGCAAGGAGCAGCUGCAAGAGAGCCUGGAGAGGUGGAGGUAUGAAAUGGAGAGAAGAGGAAUGAAAGUCAGUAGGAGCAAAACCAAAUACAUGAGUAUAAAUAAAGCUGGUUUUAUGGUAUAGUGGAGUUUACUGGGAAAAGGAGAACUGAGGAGGAAAAAAAGAACUUCAAAGAUCAAAAAACAGCUUGAAAAGCACAAAUGAGGGCUGCAGUGGACACGUUUCAUUAUUUCUAACACUCUGUUUCACUUCACUUUUUUUUGGAUGUUACAUAUUUGCUCUUCUCCGAGGCUGCCUGACAGACUAACAACACGAGCAAAAGUGGCCUGCAUAUCUUCUACACUGCCUCCAUCUGACAGCAGAGCUCCCUGCAGGCAGAGGGGCCCGGACUGAAGCUGACAAUGAACACACCGCUUCUGCUCGACCAUAAAACCAGCUUCAGACGGAGACAGGUGAAAAGGUCAACAUCCAAGGAGUAGAGGUAGUGAAGUUUUGAUGCCUUCAGGAGAUGGGGCGAACAAUACUAGAGGUCAACUUCAAGCCAACUGCACAAGUCAACAUCAAGUGUGGGAUCUACCAAGGAGAUAACCUGCCCCCACUGCUGUUCUGCAUAGGCCUGAAUCCCUCAGUGAGAUCACUGCAAGACUGGCUACGGAUACAGACUACAGAAUGGAGCAAUCGUCAGCCACCUCCUCUACAUAUCUGACAUCAAGCUGUAUGAAAGAAGUGAACGAGAAAUCGAGCUCUGAGCAGAAGAUUGUUAGAGGCUG